AGCGGUUGGGCGGCUUGCUUACACAUGCAAGUCGAACGGUGAAGCCAAGCUUGCUUGGUGGAUCAGUGGCGAACGGGUGAGUAACACGUGAGCAACCUGCCCUGGACUCUGGGAUAAGCGCUGGAAACGGCGUCUAAUACUGGAUAUGAGCUUCUACCGCAUGGUGGGGGUUGGAAAGAUUUUUCGGUCUGGGAUGGGCUCGCGGCCUAUCAGCUUGUUGGUGAGGUAAUGGCUCACCAAGGCGUCGACGGGUAGCCGGCCUGAGAGGGUGACCGGCCACACUGGGACUGAGACACGGCCCAGACUCCUACGGGAGGCAGCAGUGGGGAAUAUUGCACAAUGGGCGGAAGCCUGAUGCAGCAACGCCGCGUGAGGGAUGACGGCCUUCGGGUUGUAAACCUCUUUUAGCAGGGAAGAAGCGAAAGUGACGGUACCUGCAGAAAAAGCGCCGGCUAACUACGUGCCAGCAGCCGCGGUAAUACGUAGGGCGCAAGCGUUAUCCGGAAUUAUUGGGCGUAAAGAGCUCGUAGGCGGUUUGUCGCGUCUGCUGUGAAAUCCCGAGGCUCAACCUCGGGCCUGCAGUGGGUACGGGCAGACUAGAGUGCGGUAGGGGAGAUUGGAAUUCCUGGUGUAGCGGUGGAAUGCGCAGAUAUCAGGAGGAACACCGAUGGCGAAGGCAGAUCUCUGGGCCGUAACUGACGCUGAGGAGCGAAAGGGUGGGGAGCAAACAGGCUUAGAUACCCUGGUAGUCCACCCCGUAAACGUUGGGAACUAGUUGUGGGGACCAUUCCACGGUUUCCGUGACGCAGCUAACGCAUUAAGUUCCCCGCCUGGGGAGUACGGCCGCAAGGCUAAAACUCAAAGGAAUUGACGGGGACCCGCACAAGCGGCGGAGCAUGCGGAUUAAUUCGAUGCAACGCGAAGAACCUUACCAAGGCUUGACAUACACCAGAACGGGCCAGAAAUGGUCAACUCUUUGGACACUGGUGAACAGGUGGUU
RNAcentral lists this ribosomal RNA (1000 nucleotides) under Microbacterium sp. HBUM178192. RNAcentral's name for it is "bacterial SSU rRNA". It matches the Rfam family "Bacterial small subunit ribosomal RNA", at positions 32 to 1043 of the family's 1533-position model. Lineage: Bacteria; Bacillati; Actinomycetota; Actinomycetes; Micrococcales; Microbacteriaceae. The record is from RNAcentral.